GGCUGUCAGUGCUUCCACUGCAUGCAGUUAUUUGCGGAGGGCCUUCAAGCUGUCGUUUUGGCGAUUGAUGGGCCCCCGAUGGCAUCCUACUAACUCGGUAGCUCAGAAAAGAGGGGAGAUGGACUGCCAGACUGACCCGAAUAAAGAAACCUGCCCUGAGCUGACUUUACUUCUUCUCUGAAGGAUGGCUGCUCAUUCAGAUCUAACAGCGAAUGUUUAAAGAAAGCCAAAAUGCCACCAGAAAGGAGAGAAUAUGAAGGCAAUAAAAGUGCCGUGCUAGGCCUGGCGGAACUGCAAAUACAUCAAGGGUUCAUUCUCCUCUGUUUGCCAUUAUUCACAUUUGGCAGCCACGGAAUGUCACACCUGAGCUAUUGGGGCUCCCACUCUCAAGAUAUAUGGCCAGAGUAUUUCAUAUUUGAAGUUAUUUACCCUGUCGUUUGUUUUCAUUUUUACUGAUGUGGGUCAUUUGACAGUUUGGAGUAGUUUCAAAGCUUUCUCAAAUAAACACCUAUAUGUUAUUGUGUCAGAAGCAAGGAGAUGGAGACCAUUUUCCUUUGCCAUUAAGGUAAAAUAGUCAAGAUAUAUGGAGAAAAUAUGCAAAAA
Labeo rohita (rohu) is the source of this 603-nucleotide long non-coding RNA. RefSeq lists it as uncharacterized. The record is from RefSeq and is a predicted model, not a curated record. NCBI's taxonomy places the organism in Eukaryota, Metazoa, Chordata, Actinopteri, Cypriniformes, Cyprinidae. The transcript is spliced from 3 exons.